RNAcentral lists this ribosomal RNA (497 nucleotides) under uncultured bacterium. RNAcentral's name for it is "partial 16S ribosomal RNA". It matches the Rfam family "Bacterial small subunit ribosomal RNA", at positions 28 to 507 of the family's 1533-position model. The record is from RNAcentral.
GAUGAACGCUGGCGGCGUGCCUAAUACAUGCAAGUCGAGCGAACGGACGAGAAGCUUGCUUCUCUGAUGUUAGCGGCGGACGGGUUAGUAACACGUGGAUAACCUACCUAUAAGACUGGGAUAACUUCGGGAAACCGUAGCUAAUACCGGAUAAUAUUUUGAACCGCAUGGUUCAAAAGUGAAAGACGGUCUUGCUGUCACUUAUAGAUGGAUCCGCGCUGCAUUAGCUAGUUGGUAAGGUAACGGCUUACCAAGGCAACGAUGCGUAGCCGACCUGAGAGGGUGAUCGGCCACACUGGAACUGAGACACGGUCCAGACUCCUACGGGAGGCAGCAGUAGGGAAUCUUCCGCAAUGGGCGAAAGCCUGACGGAGCAACGCCGCGUGAGUGAUGAAGGUCUUCGGAUCGUAAAACUCUGUUAUUAGGGAAGAACAUAUGUGUAAGUAACUGUGCACAUCUUGACGGUACCUAAUCAGAAAGCCACGGCUAACUACGUG